Manihot esculenta (cassava) is the source of this 2218-nucleotide long non-coding RNA. RefSeq lists it as uncharacterized. The transcript has 2 exons. NCBI's taxonomy places the organism in Eukaryota, Viridiplantae, Streptophyta, Magnoliopsida, Malpighiales, Euphorbiaceae. The record is from RefSeq and is a predicted model, not a curated record.
AGCAGCGAAAAGGAUAGUGAUCUGUUUCUGCCAGCUCAUGCUAUCCCGUUCAUUUCGUUGUAAUUACCUAAUUCUUAAGCACGGCACCAGCUUAACCACGUAUAGCACUUCUUGGCCAUCGAUCUUUCCGCCUAGUUAAUCGUGUGCGUCCAUUCUACACUAACCCCCCUAUAUAAGAACAGUUGGCGCCUUCUGUGUUUCUUGUUCCGUAUUCUGCUCAUUUCUUCGAUCCAGAUCUCUCUUCAUGGCUUCUCUUCGAGGUUCAUGGCUUCUUCUGCCCCUCAGAUCGCUUUUUGACCUACGUGCUGAUGGUAAUUUCACGAGGCGAUUCGAAUUCCAUCGUGCUCCUAUGGAUUGACAAGUAGCAGGUUGUGUGGUGUUUGUCGAAGAACACUGUUGACCGUGGGAUCCUUUCUGCCAGCAGUAUAUCUUCUCAUAGCGGGUGUCGAUUUCUUUGUUUGGGAUUAAUUUCGACCCCUGUGGAUGAUUUUUGCCGGGUGUAGCAUGCGGUAUGGUGCGAUUUUACGACUCUAAGAGAAUGUAAUCGGCUGAUUGAUGUGGAAGGAUGGAGAUGGGUUGUGUGAUAUGUGGGAUGUAUAAGAUAUAUCAGGACGGAAGCCCCAAUGUUGUUUAUUUUAUGGGGCUGCAAGUCCUUGGUUGAUAUCUUUGUCAUCCGACCUUUGCCAUGACAGGUGCGCUUGCAUGGCAGGUCCCCGAAAUUCUUAAUAAAAUUAUUGUUUUUGUGUUCUGAGGGGAGAUCGCACGGGGAUUGCCCGGGUUCUCCCCUCUCUCGUGUGUUGCUUCUCCUGCUUUCUUAUUUUUACUCGCCUUCAAUAAUCCAAUCCGUAACUGAUACCAGAGCUUUCUCGAGGCGCAUCAACAACUCUUUCAAGGUAAUCUCCAACUGAUUGACGUUCUAAUUUAUCUCAAUUAGUUUAAUACAAGGCCUUCCUGGAUUGAAUCUCUCAAAUUUACAUUUGCAUGUGCAUGCUAGCUAGCCAUAUGGGGCAAUGGUUGUCCUUGCUUAGCUUCAUUAUUGAGAUUAGAACUAAAGCUAUGUUGGAUGUUUGAAAUUGGCAGUUUUCACGUAGGAGUUCAUGGAAAUCGAGUUACCAAUUUGCAAGGUAAAAGAAAUUGCAUAUAAUUCAAGAAUAAUUCCUGAUUCCGCAAAUUAACAAAUACAAAUGAUUCUUGAAUUCUUCUGAUUGUGCAAAUGAAUAAAUAGAAAUUAUAUAUUGAUCCUGGAAGUUAAUGAUGUGUGCUGUUGUUAUUAUCUUUUAACUUUCCUGCGGGGCAAUGCAAACUAUCCAAGUGUCCUCAGCUUGCAAUUCUUUGAACUAUAUCUUUGAUGUCUUGAGUAUAAAAUUAUUUUUAGCCGGCAAUAAUCAAGAUUUAUCCUUCGAUGGUCUUGCUGAUUCAGGUAGUGAUAUGUUCCUUUAAAUUGGAUUUAUAUCUGUUGGAGGGAUUUUUUAUUUUAUACAUUUGGCAUGAUUUAUUUCUGAUGAAAAAAUUCUAAUGAAAUCCUACAUAGUUUUAUUUUAUUUAAAAAUAAAAAUUUUGUAAAAUAAAAAAAUGAUUUUUUUAUUUUAAAUAAAAAAUUAUAAAAAAAUAAAUUGAAUAUGAUUUUUUUUAUUUUAAAUAAAAAAAUUAUAUAAAAAAAAUAAAUUUAAUUAAAUUUUUGUGGAAAUUAUUAUUGUACCAUUGCAGCAGCAGUGCUAUUUAGAGUAGAACAUGGAAUGAAGGUGCUGUGCGUUGUACCGUUUCUCUUUAUUGUAUUUUACGUUAUCGAUGGUGUUGGGAACUAGUUUUACGAUUGGAAAUUAUUCUGUUAAUAACAUAUUUAGCAAAUGUAUUGAUACUUUGUAAUGAGAAAAGGAACAUCGUUAUGUAUUGCAAACGUGGUGGGUCUCUGGUUUUUGGCAUUUGGAGUGCUGCUUCAGAGGCGGUUUGCUUGAUCCCGAGGAAGUUGCUGGUUGGCUUCACAAUGAUUUGCUUCGAGGAUCAGUGGAGGACUCCAGCUCAACCACAAGCCUUUGAGGUGAUGAAUCAAAGUUAAUAUGUAUAAUCUGAUGUUUGUCUUUUGAUGUGGUCGAACCCUCGCGGCAUUUUAAAAUCUUGAUUUCCCUUGGAUGGUUAAUUAUCAUGCUAAAAUGCCUCAUCUGUAGCUUUUAUACUUGCCAUAAAAGGGUUGAGUUGAAUAUGAUGAUAUUUAAUAUAA